GACGAACGCUGGCGGCGUGCCUAAUACAUGCAAGUGGGACGCAAGGAAACACACUGUGCUUGCACACCGUGUUUUCUUGAGUCGCGAACGGGUGAGUAACGCGUAGGUAACCUGCCUAUUAGCGGGGGAUAACUAUUGGAAACGAUAGCUAAUACCGCAUAAUAUUAAUUAUUGCAUGAUAAUUGAUUGAAAGAUGCAAGCGCAUCACUAGUAGAUGGACCUGCGUUGUAUUAGCUAGUUGGUAAGGUAAGAGCUUACCAAGGCGACGAUACAUAGCCGACCUGAGAGGGUGAUCGGCCACACUGGGACUGAGACACGGCCCAGACUCCUACGGGAGGCAGCAGUAGGGAAUCUUCGGCAAUGGACGAAAGUCUGACCGAGCAACGCCGCGUGAGUGAAGAAGGUUUUCUGAUCGUAAAGCUCUGUUGUAAGUCAAGAACGUGUGUGAGAGUGGAAAGUUCACACAGUGACGGUAGCUUACCAGAAAGGGACGGCUAACUACGUG
This 505-nucleotide ribosomal RNA is filed under the name uncultured bacterium. RNAcentral describes it as "partial 16S ribosomal RNA". It matches the Rfam family "Bacterial small subunit ribosomal RNA", at positions 28 to 507 of the family's 1533-position model. The record is from RNAcentral.